AUGGCCAGUGGAGGACCCAUCGAACGAGUGGUCAGAGCCUUGAACCGUGGCUCAUCUGGCUGCAUCCGGCGUCGUCAACCUUUAGUUGUUAAUGGCUCCCGGCUGAGCCAGGACGUGUGGCGGAGGCAAGGGGGGACGAGCAGGGGCCUGCCCCCCUAUCGAUCGACAAUUCCUUUUCUCUCCUUCUACAUCCAGUCCUCUUCCUUCAUCACCACCUCUUCCUUCCACCAACCCCCACCGCCGGCAUAUGGAAGCCACGGGCUCCCCUAUGCAUCCUCGCCGGAUUCCGACCCCCAGCACUCUCCGCUCAUCCGCGCCGCACGCCGCCACUUCCUCCCCCACAGGAACACCUCGAGGUUGAACCCGACGUGUCCUACCCGUUGCCCGAGGUCAAAGUUUGUUCAUCACCCGAGCUCAUUUAGAUACAAGAGGAUGCUGCCAUUUCUCAUGGAGAACGGUACAAGAUCUCCAUAUUUUUUUAUCUCUGUUUAUGCUCUCUUCAACUAUGAAGAAGCUACUUUUGCAAAGAGAAAUUUUGUGAGGGGGAAAGGGAAAGUCAAUGAGGGGGGAUCUGAAUAUGAGAAGAAAAGGAUCACCUCCUGUUUUACCCUUGUUGGUGCUACCUACUCUGGUAUGGAGUCCAAACCUAGGAAACCAUUGUUUCUUGGGGAAGAAGAAGGCAAGGUAGGUAAGGGCGUGGAGAAGUUGGUGGCUAGUGGGUGUGAGAGCUUUGGGAGGGAAGGGAAGUGCACAUGA
This 756-nucleotide ribosomal RNA is filed under the name Triticum aestivum (bread wheat). RNAcentral describes it as "partial small subunit ribosomal RNA". Lineage: Eukaryota; Viridiplantae; Streptophyta; Magnoliopsida; Poales; Poaceae. The record is from RNAcentral.